UCCUCCAUUCCGCACCUGGUGCACUGCCUACUCGGGAUAUCGGGAUAGUAGUGUAAGUUCCACACAUUCUAGCAUCACAAGGCCCUUAUUUACCGUGUUCAGCAGGCUGGAGCUGGAGGCUGGAGCUGGAGUGGUGUGAGAGAAAAACACUGUUACAUGGCUGGUGGCUGGAGGCUGGAACUGGAGUGGUGUGAGAGGGAAUUACUGUAGGGCUGGAGCCCUACCCACCAGCCGAACACGGUGAAUAUAUUUUGUUGUAACUAUCAACAUUUAGUACAGACAUUAUAACUAUCAAUAUGGUCAUUCUUUUUUAUUACAAUCUUUUCAUGCCUCAAUAACAGUGCAGCACAGAAACAUGUGUGUAAUAUUCAUGCCUCAAUAACCAUGCUAUUUGUUUCAUAUAUCUUCUUUCUGGUUAAUUCAUUCAUCCUUAUUGCAGUAUUUUUUUUGGCUCCUAACAUUACUUUCUUUUUGUUCAUUUUCCUUUUAAAAUAUAUAUUUCAUUAACUAUUUGUUGGUUGCACUUCCUUUCAUUAUUAGUAGGAUUGCAAAGAAAAUAUACAUAUAUAAUCACUGUUUUAAAUAGCGGGCUAUAGCGGUGCUAUAACAGUUUUCGCGGAGCUGCCGCUAUGAACACUACAGUACAAAAUAGUGGGCUAUAGCGGGCUGUAGCGGUGCUAAUAGCAUUUUGAGGGUCCUACCGCUAAAUCCUAUAGCCCGUUAUUUAAAACAUUUAUAUAUAAUGGUGUGUCCGCCCAUGCAUUAUGUCCUAAGUACAGGUGUUUCAUGCCAUUAGAACCCACCCAGCACCCUCCUUCCCUUAAAAAAGACAAGUGAGUGUAAUUGAUCCAUAAGGUAUCUAUUAAUAAAAUGGAUAUUACUGUCAUUUUUUUAGUUCACGCAUAAGGCCAUCAUGUGUGUUUGGUUCCACGGUAGUCUAUGUUUCCAAUCACAAAGGAGCCGAGAGAUUAUUCAUCAAUUAUUAUAAAAGGUCAACCAAACCAAUUCUAACGUUAUUACCAAGGGAAACUAUUGAACAAGGUCACCAGAUCCUUCUAAAUAGAAUAGCAUAAUAAAACAUGGGUCUUUUGGAGCGAAGAGGAAAAGGGUUAAUUUAGGUGAAAUGUUUAGUAUCAUAUAUGCCUAUAGUUCACUCAUAGCUUUUAACUUCAAGUUGACCUGUAAAACUUUUGGUUGCAUCCAAACUCCCGUUGGCUUGGGUUGUGUGAAUUAAUGCUUUUGCGUUAGGUUUGUCGAUUAACUCAUAUCCAUUGAUAGAUCACCUGCUAAUAGUAUAUCAAAUUUCAGUUUCAAACCGUACAGUUGUUUGUGGGCAUAUCCUCCGGCAAACUAGCAUCUGCUGACACAAAUUAAAGGUUUGUAUAUCCUGACCAAUUUUACUUGUAUUGCAGAGAAUAUAUAGGGAAACAUGGUAUAUAUUCCCCUAUUUUUAAAAUAAUGAUAGUUUGGUUGCAUUACAGACUCAUGGUAUUUCUUACAUGUAUAUUCCGGCGACCAAGAUUUUGCAUAAGGUUGUCAAAGAACUAGGUGGUACCGAACCAAUAUAUGAGAAUGUAUCAUGGCCUGAUUCACAACUAGAGCAUCAUGUCUCUUUCUAGAUUCUAGCUAAAGGCCACAGUGAGGGUAUGGUUGAUAUUGCUAUAUGUAGGUUGUCAAAUGAAGGAACUAGAGAAGACAAUGUCUAUGAAAAUAUAGCACGCGAUGCUCUAUAGUUUCUUCAGGAUGAACAUGGUAUUAAUGUUCUUGAUAAUAAUUGGUUUUUAGCUGAAGAACUAAGAUUGAGAUGCAUUCCCAUGGUUAAGAAUUUGAUUGAGAGUGAAAGCAUUUAUGAAUUUGUACAUACCAAGUGUUUCAUGGUGCUAGAUGGCAUAGAUUUUGCUUCUACCCUUUUCAUGAAUAAGGUGUAUGAAGUGGAAAAUGAACUGAAAAAAGGCCAUGUGCAUGCUAAUAUGGCAAUUGUUUUAAGAGCUUGCACUUGGGAUCUCAAAAGUAUAGGUCAGUCAUCAACUCAAGAAUUGCGCUCACAUUAUGGUUCAUAUCAUGCUACAAAAGGGAAUGAGAUCAAAAUUCAUCAAGCCCUAUGCUGAUUAUAUCAAUCUGAAACACAAGGUGGGCGCAGUCAACAUCAACAGUGGUCUAAAAAUCAUUUUAGAUCAAGUGGCAUCCAAGGCGGGUUUUCAAUUGCCUGUCCUUACAGUUGAUCAUGUGAUUGGUUGUGGGUACAUAGGAAAUGUUCAAUUAAAUCCCUCAGAAUGUGCAUCUAUUUCAAAUUAUGUCGCGUGCAGCAAUGUGCAAGGAAAACUGGUAUCUGGAAAAAUUUGAAGCUGCCAAUAGUGCCAUGUACCAGGCUAUUGGUUUCAUAUCAGAUACUUAUAGUCUUAGUAUCUUGGAUCCAAACUUUUAUGUAUUGAGUGACCUCAAAAAAGUUGAAGCUGCCAUCAAACGAGAGUUGCAUGUAUUAGCACAAAGGUCAUCUACGGUUGAACGGAUUGCACAUUGUGCUAUAAAUGAUGUCCAUAGCCUAGCUACCAAGUAUGAUGGGUCCAUUAGUGAGAAAGAUGCUGAGAUUAAGGGCGUGCUGAUUUCUAUGUGUAUUGAUCUGUCCAGACAUCUGGAUGCUGUGUACCAGCUUAUUGAUGUUGCAUGGAAGAACUGUAGGGUUUGAUUCUCUCAGUCCAAUGUAAAUUAUUAGUUGCCCA
Panicum virgatum (switchgrass) is the source of this 2720-nucleotide long non-coding RNA. RefSeq lists it as uncharacterized. The transcript is spliced from 2 exons. The record is from RefSeq and is a predicted model, not a curated record. NCBI's taxonomy places the organism in Eukaryota, Viridiplantae, Streptophyta, Magnoliopsida, Poales, Poaceae.